AGGGGCGGAGCCUCCAUUCUACCUCGGAGGCUGUUGUCGGUUACGAGAGGCCCGGAUGUUGACCCUUCAUUACUAACAACAGAGGGCACCUGACCGGGCGUCUCUCGCCCUGAGGUCAAAGGCCAUGAGGGUUGAAGGACGAAGGUUUAAGUAUUGGGGCACUCAGCCUUCCCUAUCAUUUUAUGGUUUUAAGAAAGCAAAUCAGCCUGAAAAGGGAAAGAAAAUUAGAGCAAAGACCCAUCACUUCCGAGGACUUGGAAAAUGGGUCCCGCUGAAGCCGAAAUAAAUGACGUUGCCAAGCACCUGCCCAAAUAUCAAGUUUAAAAAAAGACUCAGGAAACCACAAAGAAAACCUUCACUGCCCUACCAAAGCAAACAGAAACCCUGCACAAACAAAACAAAGUUAAAAGCGUGCGUCAAGGUUUUAUAGCAUUUCCUGGCAAGAUGUAUAGAAUCAUCCCUAACUGGCUUUUAAAAACCACAGAUUUAACUAAAACACAAUGAAAAGGCACUAACUACUAUCUGGCCGAGGCCAGUCUGUUUUCCUUGUAGAGUUAAUUGACUCCUCUGUUUUAUAAUUUAAAAAGUGAAAGACUAUUAUUGCUGUCUACAAAUAUCUGAAAGGUUGUCUUUUAUGGAAAAGAAAUUAAAAGAUUUGAUGGCAGAUGGGUGCACUUUGCAGUGAA
Long non-coding RNA from Monodelphis domestica (gray short-tailed opossum), 686 nucleotides. RefSeq lists it as uncharacterized. The record is from RefSeq and is a predicted model, not a curated record. NCBI's taxonomy places the organism in Eukaryota, Metazoa, Chordata, Mammalia, Didelphimorphia, Didelphidae.